UCCGCCUGGGGAGUACGGUCGCAAGAUUAAAACUCAAAGGAAUUGACGGGGACCCGCACAAGCAGCGGAGCAUGUGGUUUAAUUCGAAGCAACGCGAAGCACCUUACCUAGCCUUGACAUCUCCUGAAUUACUCUUAAUCGAGGAAGUCCCUUCGGGGACAGGAAGACAGGUGGUGCAUGGUUGUCGUCAGCUCGUGUCGUGAGAUGUUGGGUUAAGUCCCGCAACGAGCGCAACCCUUAUUGUUAGUUGCUACUAUUAAGUUAAGCACUCUAACGAGACUGCCGCGGUUAACGUGGAGGAAGGUGGGGAUGACGUCAAAUCAUCAUGCCCCUUAUGUCUAGGGCUACACACGUGCUACAAUGGCUGGUACAACGAGCAGCAAACCCGCGAGGGGGAGCAAAACUUGAAAGCCAGUCCCAGUUCGGAUUGUAGGCUGAAACUCGCCUACAUGAAGUUGGAGUUGCUAGUAAUCGCGAAUCAGCAUGUCGCGGUGAAUACGUUCCCGGGUCUUGUACACACCGCCCGUCACACCAUG
This 536-nucleotide ribosomal RNA is filed under the name Clostridium botulinum C. Its description in RNAcentral is "bacterial SSU rRNA". It matches the Rfam family "Bacterial small subunit ribosomal RNA", at positions 868 to 1406 of the family's 1533-position model. The record is from RNAcentral. Lineage: Bacteria; Bacillati; Bacillota; Clostridia; Eubacteriales; Clostridiaceae.